AUUGAACGCUGGCGGAAUGCUUUACACAUGCAAGUCGAACGGCAGCACGGACUUCGGUCUGGUGGCGAGUGGCGAACGGGUGAGUAAUGUAUCGGAACGUGCCCAGUCGUGGGGGAUAACGUAGUGAAAAUUACGCUAAUACCGCAUACGAUCUAUGGAUGAAAGCGGGGGAUCGCAAGACCUCGCGCGAUUGGAGCGGCCGAUAUCAGAUUAGGUAGUUGGUGGGGUAAAGGCCCACCAAGCCAACGAUCUGUAGCUGGUCUGAGAGGACGACCAGCCACACUGGAACUGAGACACGGUCCAGACUCCUACGGGAGGCAGCAGUGGGGAAUUUUGGACAAUGGGCGAAAGCCUGAUCCAGCCAUUCCGCGUGCAGGAUGAAGGCCCUCGGGUUGCAAACUGCUUUUGUACAGAACGAAAAGGUUUCUGCUAAUACUAGGAGCUCAUGACGGUACUGUAAGAAUAAGCACCGGCUAACUACGUGCCAGCAGCCGCCGUAA
This 500-nucleotide ribosomal RNA is filed under the name uncultured bacterium. Its description in RNAcentral is "partial 16S ribosomal RNA". It matches the Rfam family "Bacterial small subunit ribosomal RNA", at positions 30 to 523 of the family's 1533-position model. The record is from RNAcentral.